RNAcentral lists this long non-coding RNA (7364 nucleotides) under Salmo salar (Atlantic salmon). RNAcentral describes it as "lncRNA (ENSSSAG00000087534.1, ENSSSAG00000103037.1)". The record is from RNAcentral. Lineage: Eukaryota; Metazoa; Chordata; Actinopteri; Salmoniformes; Salmonidae.
AAGAGCAGCUCCGUCUUGCCGAGGUUCAGCUUGAGCUGGUGAUCCGUCAUCCACACUGAUAUGUCUGACAGACAUGCAGAGAUGCGAUUCGCGAUUUGCCACCUGGUUAUCAGAAGGGGGAAAGGAGAAGAUUAAUUGUGUGUCGUCUGCAUAGCAAUGAUAGGAGAGACCAUGUGAGGAUAUGACAGAGCCAAGUGACUUGGUGUAUAGCGAGAAUAGGAGAGGGCCUAGAACAGAGCCCUGGGGGACACCAGUGGUGAGAGCGCAUGGUGCGGAGACAGAUUCUCGCCACGCCACCUGGUAGGAGCGACCUGUCAGGUAGGACGCAAUCCAAGCGUGGGCCGCGCCGGAGAUGCCCAACUCGGAGAGGGUGGUGCAUGGCAAAGAGGAACUUGCAACUCAUCUGAUCACUCUUCAUAACAUUCUGGAGUAUAUGCAAAUUGCCAUCAAACAAACUGAGGCAGCAGACUUUGUGAAAAUUAAUAUUCAUGUCAUUCUCAAAACUUUUGACCACGACUGUACACCCAGAUUGGGGUAUAUAGUAUAGUACCAUUGGUGGAAAUAUGUAUUUGUCUUAUGCAGCUGUAUGACCCAAUUGGUGAAUAAACGUGUUUUAAGCUUUAGUAAUCGUCCGUGAGUUUUACAAGGUUAAUUUAGAACCUAACACUGACCUGUCCGUCCACACGCUCGAUGUGCUGUAGUCUCCACAACUGGAUCACACUGGCACCGGAUGUCCCUCCACCGGAUGGUCUGAGGGAGACACUCUUGUUGGACUGGAAAACAAAGAGACAUUUGGCUCGAUCUGCUGUAGUCUACAACUGGACGCUUGCACUCAGAUCACACUGGCACAGGAUGCCAUCACAUUGAAACAGGAUAUCCAUGCACCGGAAGGUCUGAGGGAUACAGUCCUGUUGGACUGGAAAAGAAAGAGACAUUUGGUCAGUGUCUGGAUCUUCCUCUUCUGCCAUGGUGGACCUUUCUGGUAAAUACAGGACCAUUUCUCUUUCCACCAGAAAAUGGCAGCUGCAGACCCGAGUGUCCAGUCCGCCCAUCUAAAAGACAAAAAAAGUAACUUUUACUAAAAUGGUAACAUCUAAUGUUCCCUUUAAGCUCCCCAUGGACUGGUGCACAUAAUAAAGCCCGCUCAGAGAAACACAAGUUUGAACCUCACUCAACAUUCAGGAGUUUUCCCUGUUAGUUAACACCACCAAUGUUUUUCUUUACUGUGAGAAUUGUGAUCGAAUCAAUGUAAUAUUAGCCACGUUUAGUGCAACAUACCGAAACAAAAACAAACUAUGCAAGACGAAGUAUGCAAAACGAACUAUGCAAGCGAUUUUGUUGUAGGCAGAAAGCAUCAGAGUAGGAUUCUAUUGCAUUGACAGGCACGGCUCAGGCCCAUACUCUAUACAGACCCGCGCGCCAUAAGCAAUCAGAGCUGCAGUAGGCCUAUAAGCAAAUAGACUAAUAGACCAUUGCAAAAUAAACCUGUGCCAUUCACUUUGAACUGGACUGUGUUUACAGAAUGAGCGGUCAUGAGUAGAUGCGCUUGUUUUGAGAUCAAAGCGAGCCACUUGUGCACAUUUGUGCUAGUUAGUGAGUUAUUAGCCCAGUUAAAGACAAUUUGUAGUCCACAACAGCCUACUUGACCACUGUUAAUACUGUAACUUAAAACGCGCACAACCUCUGUGUUCACAGUAAACGUGCUGGAAGUUGCACAAAAUAUUCACAACAUUUAAAUUUGUGCUUAGCAGGCCUGAAAUUUGCUCAUUGCUGGAAAAAAAUUGAGGGAACAUUGGUAACAUCUAUAUUAAAAUACCAUAACCCACAUACUUGACUAUAGUAAUGCUAAAAUAGACUAGGCUUUGGUCUAUCUGCACAUCUAAAAUCAUACUAUAUGGAUGGGACAUUUCUGCCGGGAUGGGGGAAUUAUCUGGAAUGCUCAACUAGAUGAUCAGGACAGUCUAGGGUAAUAUUUGCCCGAAGAGGUGAAGUAUUGCAAUAAGCUAUACGACUGUACUUCUGAUUUGAAUUCUCAAGAGGAAAGUUAAAGCCCUCGGCCUGAAGAAACUGUGGAGGAGCAACAGUUAUAGGGGGAUUGUCUGAAAGGGACUGACAUGCAGGGAUGGAACGGGCUAGGCGUCCCGCUAGCAGGGCAACUUCCGGUGAAACUGGAGGGCGCGUAAUUCAAAUAAAUAAUCAUACAAAUUAUGGAUAUUAAACAUUCAGGUACAUAUAAGUGUCUUAUAUUGGUUGAAAUCUUAAAUUCUUGUUAAUCUAACUGCGCUGUCUGAUUUACAGUAGCUAUUACAGCGAAAACAUGCCAUGCGAUUGUUUGAGGACAGCGCCACAUCAAAAUAUUUUUCCACCGGCACAGGUUUCAUAAAUUCACAAAUAGCGAUUAAAUAUUCACUUACUUUUUGAAAAUCUUCCUCUGAUUUGUCAUCCAAAGUGUCCCAGCUAUAACAUGUAGUGUCGUUUUGUUAGAUAAAAUCCCUCUUUAUAUCCCAAAAAGUCAGUUUAGUUGGCGCCAUCGAUUUGAGUAACCCACUCGUUCAACAUGUAGAGAAAGGAAUCCGAAAAUCUAAACUUUGUUUCAACAAGUCAAAAUACGUUUCUAUUUACUCCUCAGAUACCCUAAAAUGUAAUAUUUCUUACAGAAGGAAGUAUGUUCAAUAGCAAUCCGAUUUUAGCAGGUGCGUCCUGUCUUCGAGGCGCCCGCAAACACGAAUUUCCAAGACUGUGUCCUACUACUAAAACUGUUAUUUCUUAUUCAUUUUUGAAGUUACACGCCUGAAACCUUGAACAUAGACUGCUGACACCCUGUGGAAGCCAUAGGAAUUGCAUCCAGGAAGCUAAUCUUAUAAGAGGAUGGUCUCUCAAAAAAUUAUUUCCAGAAGGUUUUCUUAGAAUUUUCUCCUACCAUAUCUAUUGUGUUAUAUUCGCCUGCGUUAUUUUAACAUUUCUACAAACUUCAAAGUGUUUUCUUUCCAAUGGUACCAAUUAUAUGCAUAUCCUGGCUUCAGGGCCUGAGCAACAGGCAGUUUACUCUGGGCGCGUCAUUCAGGCGGAAAUUGAGAAAAAAGGUGCCUAGCCCUAAGAAGAUAAGGAUUUAGCCAGCAGACCACGAUUUCUACUAGCCUGGGUAAGAUUCAGGUCCUAAAUCAAGUCAAAUCAAAUUGUAUUUGUCACGUGCACUGAAUACAACAGGUGUAGACCUCACAGUGAAAUGCUUACUUACAAGCACUUAACCAACAAUGUAGAUUUAAGGAAAAUAAGUGUAAAGUAAAAAAUAGAUAAUGCAAAAAAUUAGGUAACAAACAAUUAGAGAGGGGGUACCAGUACAGAGUCAAUGUGCGGGGGCACCGGUUAGUUGAGGUAAUUGAUGAUAUGUACAUGUUGGUAGGGUUAACCUCUCUAGGAUAGGUGGCACCAAAUCGUCCCACCUACGUAACAGCCAGUGUAAUCCCGUGGCGCGUUAUUCAAAAACCUCAAAAAUGCAAAAACUUCAAUUUUUCAAACAUAUGACUAUUUUACACCAUUUUAAAGACAAGACUCUCGUUAAUCUAACCACACUGUCCGAUUUCAAAAAGGCUUUACAAUGAAAGCAAAACAUUAGAUUAUGUCAGCAGAGUACCCAGCCAGAAAUAAUCAGACACCCAUUUUUCAAGCUAGCAUAUAAUGUCACAUAAACCCAAACCACAGCUAAAUGCAGCACUAACCUUUGAUCUUCAUCAGAUGACUAGGACAUUAUGUUAUACAAUACAUGCAUGUUUUGUUCAAUCAAGUUCAUAUUUAUAUCAAAAAACAGCUUUUUACAUUAGCAUGUGACUAGCAUGUGACUAGCAUUCCCACCGAACACUGCCGGUGAAUUUACUAAAUUACUCACGAUAAACGUUCACAAAAAGCAUAACAAUUAUUUUAAGAAUUAUAGAUACAGAACUCCUCUAUGCACUCGAUAUGUCCGAUUUUAAAAUAGCUUUUCGGUGAAAGCACAUUUUGCAAUAUUCUCAGUAGAUAGCCCGGCGUCACAGGGCUAGCUAUUUAGACACCCAGCAAGUUUAGCACUCAGAAAAGUCACAUUUACUAUAAGAAAAAUUGUAUUACCUUUGCUGUCUUCGUCAGAAUUCAGAAUUCAGACUUCUACUUCAAUAACAAAUGUUGGUUUGGUUCAAAAUAAUCCAUAGUUAUAUCCAAACAGCGGCGUUUUGUUCGUGCGUUCAAGACACUAUCCGAAAGGGUAAAUAAGGGUGACGAGCAUGGCGCAAUUCGUGACAAAAAAAAUCUAAAUAUUCCAUUACCGUACUUCGAAGCAUGUCAACCGCUGUUUAAAAUCAAUUUUUAUGCCAUUUUUCUCGUAAAAAAACAAUAAUAUUCCGACCGGGAAUCUGCAUUUAGGUAAACAGAUGAAAGAAAAUAAAGCAUUCGGUCGACUCGGGCACGCGCCUAAGCCCACAGUACUCUGAGCGGCCACUUGCCAAACGCGAUAAUGUGUUUCAGCCAGAGCCUGCCUCGAUAUCCUUCAGCUUUUUCCCGGGCUCUGAGAGCCUAUGGGAGCCGUAGGAAGUGUCACGUUAUUGCAAAGAUCCUAAGUCUUCAAUAAAAAGAGCCCAGAUGAAACACAACUUGUCAGACAUGCCACUUCCUGCAUGGAAUCUUCUCAGGUUUUGGCCUGCCAUAUGAGUUCUGUUAUACUCACAGACACCAUUCAAACAGUUUUAGAAACUUUAGGGUGUUUUCUAUCCAAAGCCAAUAAUUAUAUGCAUAUUCUAGUUACUGGGCAGGAGUAGUAACCAGAUUAAAUUGGGUACGUUUUUUUAUCCAGCCGUGUCAAUACUGCCCCCUAGCCCUAACAGGUUAUUUUAAAAAUUGAAGUGAUAGCAUAUCUAAGGUAUUUGAAUAACGCGCCACAGGAUUCAACUGGCUGUUUUUGGUAAUAAGAGACAGUGGCAGAAACAUUAUGUACAAAAUAAGUUGCAAAUUUUGCGAAAAAACACAAUAGCGCAAUUGGUUAGGGGACCGUAAAACAGCAGGAUAUUAUUUCACUGUAAUAGCUACUGUAAAUUGGACAGUGCAGUUAGAUUAACAAGAAUUUAAGCUUUCUGCCAAUAUCAGACAUGUCUAUGUCCUGGGAACUGUUCUUGUUACUUACAACCUCAUGCUAAUCGCAUUAGCCUACGUUAGCUCAACCGUCCCAUGGUUGAGAGGUUAAUGCGUUUGAGCCAAUCAGUUGCGGGGGUAUACAGAAGAUGGUCUUUUACCAAAUAGGACUAUGUCCAUAUUAUGGCAUAAACAGCUCAAAUAAGCAAAAAUAAAUGACAGUCCAUCAUUACUUUAAGACAUGAAGGUUAGUCAAUAUGGAAAAUGUCAAUAACUUGGAUAGUUUCUUCAAAUGCAGUCGCAAAAACCAUCAAGCACUGUGAUGAAACUGGCUGUCAUGAGGACUGCCACAGGAAUGGAAGUCCCAGAGUUACCUCUGUUGCAGAGGAUAAAUUAAUUCGAGUUACCAGCCUCAGAAAUUGCAGCCCAAAUAAGUGCUUCAGAGUUCAAGUAACAGACACAUCUCAACAUCAACUGUUCAGAGGAGCCUGUGUGAAUCAGGCCUUCAUAGUUGAAUGCUGCAAAGAAACCACUUCUAAAGGACACCAAUAAGAAGAAGAGACUUGCUUGGGCCAAGAAACACGAGCAAUGGACAUAAGACCGGUGGACAUUUUUUCUUUGGUCUGGAGUCGAAAUUGGCCCCGAGAGUAAUGUUGGGGUCCAGAAUGUCGACCACUGGAACCCAACAGUGCUCCUCUUGGCCAUAACCCUCCCAGUCCACCAGGUGCUGGAGCUGACCCCCACGACCCAGCUCCUGGUUGGUCCUCUCCACCUACCCGUUGGACUUGGCCAGUACCCUGUGUAAGGGAAAGCAGGUCUUCCAGCAUCCUGGUACCAAGGCAGUGAUUUUAUGACGUUGGAGCCACGGGACACCCAGGAUGAUUUUGUGAAUGGGUGCAGUGAUGAUGAGGAAGGGAAGGCAUUCUUGGUGCAAGGGUCCCACAGUGAGGGUGAGUGGUGCUGUGAUGUGCGUGAUAGUGUCGGAUCCCAAUGGUCGAUUAUCCAGGGCUUGGACCAGAAAAGGAGAGGAGAGCAGGUCUGAGGUGAUGUUCAGGGAGGAGACGAGGGUCUGAUCGAUGAAAUUCCAUUUCCACAACAGCUGUAGAGACAACACCAGCCAGUAAAAUGGAAACCAGGAAGGAUUGGCAGAAAACGAUGAAGAAGGAAUACUUACGCCUACCCUGGGAGACGGAUGAUCAAGGGGCAUUCCAUCCAGCGGACGGAAUGAAGCGGCGCUCCGUACACUACUCCGAAGGGGGCUGCGCGAGGAGGUCCAAAUGGAACUGACAUGUCAGGACGACGAUCUCUCCUUGGACGCACUCAUCGUGAUGGCCAUCCGGUUGGAUAAUCUACUUCAGGAGCGUCGGUAUCCACAUCACUUCUCUCCCUCCCUCAGUGAACAAUCUGUAGCAGAGCCUGGACUUAUGGAGGCUUCAGCAGUGUCCAAUACAUCCCAACUCAGGAUCCACGAGAGCAGUGGGACGGUCACGUGAUCUUCCAUCUCCAGGGGCAGGUGUGAGUAUCCCAUCCUUAUCAGUUUCUGCUAAAAUCUUUUUAGUGUCGAUCACACUAGCUGGCUGUUCUUCAUACGCCCAGAAUUCAUUACGUCACUCCUCCACCGGGCUUACUCUCUUACAGUGUGUCCUGGGUUAUCAGCCGGCCCUGGCUCCGUGGACUCUGAGCCAGACCGAGGCCCCUGGGGUGUACGAAUGGUUCCGGCACUCAGAAGAGGUUUGGAGUGAUGCUCAUGUGAGGCUCCAGCGUGCCGUCCAUCGCCAGAUGGAGCUGUCCAGAGGUUUGACAUCGCUGGUUUUUACUAACCAUCGGUCCUGGCAUUCAUCAUUACGCGCACCUGGCAUUCAUCAUUUCACUGAUUACUUCCCCAAUAUCUGUCACUCCCGUAGUUCUAUUCCCCAUGCAGUAUUGACUAUGUGUUCCAUAUUUGUACGCUACUCGUGUUUCUUGUAUUGUUCCAUUUAUUAUUAAACUCACCCCUGCACUUGCUUACCAACUCCCAGCAUCUACGUUACAGCACCACUAUGGAAGUUACUCGAAUCUGGCUUAUUGUGAGGUCAAUAACUCUGGUAAAUACAUCAUGGCAAGAAACAUAUUGUUUUUAAUCAAAUCAAUUGUAGUACUAGCAAGCUAUCAAAUUUCUCAUCUUCGCACUCUCCUUCUUAAAUUGAACAGAACAUAGGCUAUAGGCUAGUCCAUGUUCUGGACUAGGCCUAAUCAAAACCUAUUUUUGGAAGAAAACUUUGACUGCC